Long non-coding RNA from Odontomachus brunneus, 1443 nucleotides. RefSeq lists it as uncharacterized. Lineage: Eukaryota; Metazoa; Arthropoda; Insecta; Hymenoptera; Formicidae. The record is from RefSeq and is a predicted model, not a curated record. The transcript has 3 exons.
CGUCGUUUACAAGUUGCAAUGCGGUAAUUGUGAGGCAUCUUAUGUGGGACAGACUAGUAGAAAUAUUAACUGGUCCAUAUGCAUGCAAUAGUUAUAUGCAAUAUAACUAUUACAUGCGUAUGGACCAGUUGAGCAUCUAUAAAGAACAGAUUAUAAAAGUGGAAAUCAUAGGUUACGUGACAAAAGUUUGAAUGAUAAGUAAAAUAUUAAUUGUCUUUUGUUUAAAAUAAUGUAAAUGUACUAAUGCCCGGACAUAAACUCAAAAACAUAAAAUCCAGACAUAAACAUUAAUUCAAAAACAUAAGCAUUAACUCCAGACAUUCUUAUUAUUUUGAAUAUUUCAUUUUUUAACGUAUACUAUAUAUAAAUAUUAAAUGUAUAGCAAUGUGUAUGUAUUGUACGUUGAAAGCCAAAAUAUUCAUAUUUAAAUAUCAAAAUAAUAAUGAUGAUAAGUAUAAUGCUAAAGAUAAAUACAUGCCCAGGCAUUAGUACGCUUAUCUUAUCAAAAAGCAGUGAAAUGCAGCUUCAUGAAUUUUUAGCUUUAACUCAUAAUACAGAUAAAUUAAAAAAUUAUUUAAUAGAAAAAAAAUAAUCAAUAGUGAAGUGCAAUGUCCCAAGUGCAACAAAAAAUUAAUAAUUAGCAGUGAAAUGUUAUUUCAUUGCACAAAAUUGUAUUAUGAGAAAGAUAAACAUAAAACAAUAGUAAAAAGAAGUGUAAUUUUAAAGUGAGUGUGAAAAAGAACACAUGGUUGGCAAGUCAAAAUUAAGCAUAGAAACAAUAUGCAGGAUUACAGCUUAUUUUAUAAUGACUUUAAUGAAUUUAAGACCUCCACGAUAAGAAUUUUUAUCUAUAGAACUAAAUCUGUCUGACCAUACAAUUAUAGACUGGACUUCUUUUGGCCGAGAGAUUUGCAUACAUUGGGUCAAAAAAAACUCAAUAAAACUUGGAGAACCAAACGAAAUAGUGAAAAUAGACAAGGCCAAAAUCGGCAAGAGAAAAUAUAACCGUGACCGAAUAAUAGAAGCAAAAUGGAUAUUCAGUGGAUACGAACGAGAUUUCAGAAAAAUAUUUCUCGUGUCAGUUCCAAGUCGGACAGAGACAACUUUAUUAAAUAUUAUUAAGGAAUGGAUUUUACACGGGACGAUAGUGUCAGAUUGUUGGAAAUCUUAUAACUGCUUAAGCAGUGAAGAUUUCCAACAUCUAGCAGUGAAUCAUUCUAUGAAUUUCAUCGAUCCCGAUACUGGAGCACACACUCAACAUAUUGAAUACGUUUGGAGAGAAGUAAGAGCUAAUAUUCCACAAUAUGGAACACACACUGCUCAUUUAGUGGGAUACUUAGCCAAAUAUCUCUUCAAAUGCGUUCAUAAAUGUGAAGACUGUAUAUCCGCUUUCUUUUCUGCGAUUGCAGAAUUAUAUAAACCAGAAUUGUCUACUGAGGAAGA